AACGAACGCUGGCGGCAGGCCUAACACAUGCAAGUCGAGCGGCAGCGCGGGGCAACCUGGCGGCGAGCGGCGGACGGGUGAGGAAUGCAUCGGAAUCUACCCUGUCGUGGGGGAUAACGUAGGGAAACUUACGCUAAUACCGCAUACGACCGAGAGGUGAAAGUGGGGGACCGCAAGGCCUCACGCGAUUGGAUGAGCCGAUGCCGGAUUAGCUAGUUGGUGGGGUAAAGGCCCACCAAGGCGACGAUCCGUAGCUGGUCUGAGAGGAUGAUCAGCCACACUGGGACUGAGACACGGCCCAGACUCCUACGGGAGGCAGCAGUGGGGAAUAUUGGACAAUGGGCGCAAGCCUGAUCCAGCCAUGCCGCGUGUGUGAAGAAGGCCUUCGGGUUGUAAAGCACUUUUGUUCGGGAAGAAAUCGUGCGGAUUAAUACUUCGUACGGAUGACGGUACCGAAAGAAUAAGCACCGGCUAACUUCGUGC
This 483-nucleotide ribosomal RNA is filed under the name uncultured bacterium. RNAcentral's name for it is "bacterial SSU rRNA". It matches the Rfam family "Bacterial small subunit ribosomal RNA", at positions 29 to 508 of the family's 1533-position model. The record is from RNAcentral.